Molecule: long non-coding RNA, 390 nt
Filed under: Medicago truncatula (barrel medic)
Lineage: Eukaryota; Viridiplantae; Streptophyta; Magnoliopsida; Fabales; Fabaceae
Description: long non-coding RNA (MTRU_LNC005788)
Source: RNAcentral
UUUUUAUUUGUCAUUCUUUCCCAAAAGUAAUGAAAAUACCUUUGUUUUUGUGUAUGCAUUGAAUUUUCUUUGGUGUGAUGAAAAGGCCCAAUUGAGAUCAAAUAUGGUGUAUAAGCUUCUCCAUUAUUCAACUUUCUAAGAUUGGGAGGUACCUUGUAAAUACAACAAAUACCAUGCUUUGCAUCCUUGAUCUCUUUAGGAAUGUCAAUUAUUAUGUCUUCUAUUUGUGGUUCUGUUUCAGGUAAAGGAGUAGAACUAGUAGCUGAAGAAGCCAUUGAAAAGUCAACAAAGAUGAACCUGAUCAAUUUACAAGAACUCACUUGUUAUUAUUGACACAAAUCUUAAACACAUAUAUGUAGAAAUAACCAAAACAUCAAUUUACCAAAAGAG